UGGGGAAUAUUGGACAAUGGGGGCAACCCUGAUCCAGCCAUGCCGCGUGUGUGAAGAAGGCCUUUUGGUUGUAAAGCACUUUAAGCAGUGAAGAAGACUCCAUGGUUAAUACCCAUGGACGAUGACAUUAGCUGCAGAAUAAGCACCGGCUAACUCUGUGCCAGCAGCCGCGGUAAUACAGAGGGUGCAAGCGUUAAUCGGAAUUACUGGGCGUAAAGCGAGCGUAGGUGGCUUGAUAAGUCAGAUGUGAAAGCCCCGGGCUUAACCUGGGAACGGCAUCUGAUACUGUUAGGCUAGAGUAGGUGAGAGGAAGGUAGAAUUCCAGGUGUAGCGGUGAAAUGCGUAGAGAUCUGGAGGAAUACCGAUGGCGAAGGCAGCCUGCUGGCAUCAUACUGACACUGAGGUUCGAAAGCGUGGGUAGCAAACA
RNAcentral lists this ribosomal RNA (427 nucleotides) under uncultured bacterium. Its description in RNAcentral is "partial 16S ribosomal RNA". It matches the Rfam family "Bacterial small subunit ribosomal RNA", at positions 355 to 774 of the family's 1533-position model. The record is from RNAcentral.